Molecule: long non-coding RNA, 1381 nt
Filed under: Nicotiana tabacum (common tobacco)
Lineage: Eukaryota; Viridiplantae; Streptophyta; Magnoliopsida; Solanales; Solanaceae
Description: long non-coding RNA (NTAB_LNC005962)
Source: RNAcentral
CAAAUUACACUCUAAAUUUUCAAUGUCAUAAAUUGUACGACUAAAUCCCUAAUGUCAUUAGUUGUGAGUUCAUUUCAUGAAAGCAACCAGCCUUCAAAUUCAAGGUUUGUUCAAGUCGUCAUCGACAAUCUCUGUUUAGGUUAAGUUCAAGCUUUGUUCCAGUCGUCAUUGUCAGCCUCCAUUUAAGACAAGUUUAUCAUCUUGAUUUCAGGUAUUAUCGGUGACCUUUUAAUUUAUUUUUCAACCUUAGAAAGAAAGAAAGUGGGAAAGAAAGAAAACUAGAACUUCUGUAUUGCAUUGAAAAUAAAGUAGUUUGUGUUCCUCUAUUUUUUUUUAUUGUUUAUUACAGACUUUUGCUUUGAUCUUGAUAUAUACUUGAUGGAUGAUGUGGUGAAGACCAGAAAUUUUAAUAUCUUGGCAUGGUGGAAAGUUUCAUCUAGUAAAUAUCCAAUAGUUUCAAAUAUUGCAAGGGAUGUUCUUUCUAUUCCUAUUUUUAUUGUUGCAUCUGAGUCGGCUUUUAGUACAGGUGAUCGAGUUCUUGAUUCUUAUCGGAGUUCUUUAUCACCAAAAACAGUAGAAGCUCUUAUUUGUACUCAACAAUAGAUACGAUCAUCUUCCAAGGAAUACUAGUUUGAAGACAUGUUGGAAGAAGUCUAGAAAAUUGAUCAAGUUGAAGAAGGUAAUAAUUUAUCUUCGAUUAGUAAUUAAUAUAGUUAUUUUUGUGUAUUACUUAAUAUUAAAUAUGUUAAUUGUUUUUUUUAUUUUAGAAUAUCCAGACUCACCUUUUAGGAUUGAUUAGAGGGAUAGUUAACUAUAAUUUUCUCUAGGACUAUUUUUGGAAUCUUAACUACUUAAAGGCAAUUAAAAGAGGUUCUAUUAGUUUCUUUACUUUUGUCUAUAACCUUUCUGUUGAGCCUAAAGUACUUGAUUAUUUAUAAAUAUUUCAGGUAUUACAAAAGUUUAUUCCAAGAAAAAGAAUAUAACUGCAAUGAAUCUCCCAAAGAUUGGAAUUUGGGUCAUUAUGCCUUUACUAACAUUCUGGAAUAUGCUCCUCGGGAUUAAAAUGUCCAACUUCUUAGAGUUUAAUAUAUUCUCUUUUUGUUUAUUUUCUAUGACUCUUGGCCGUAGUGUCUACUCUUAAAAUAUUGGUGAUAAUUCAUAUGUAGAAUGCAAUAUAAUUUGCAAUUUAUCUUUUUGGCAGUCUAUGACUCUUCGUUGUAACUAUUUACAAAUGUUUCAGGUAAUUCUAUGACUCUUGAAUCCUUUUUAGUACUGUGAUUGUAACACAAAAUGGAUGAUCACAUUCACAUAUUAUCACCAAUGGUUUAAGUUGUAAGGAUUGAUUAAAUAUCUGGUGCACUUCUAUCUUUUUUUAAAGAUG